CUCUCUUUCACUUUCCCAAACUGAACCGGCUGGGGGCGUGACUUUGAGUGAGGAUUAUUCAGUUACGUCACAGUCGUAACCCCCACAUCUAUCACUAUCUGAGACAUGCCUUGGAGGAGGCCUCUAGGCUGGCAGCAGGUCACGGCUGCUCAAAGGAAAUCUAAUUGCGCAGUUACCUCCUUCCUUCAAAUGAGACAGAAGCAGGAGGGACUGAAGAAGAAACGCUGUCCCUAUCCUUUCACCUUCCUAACAAUGGGAGGCAGAGCUACAGUCAGGGCUAGAUGGCUGGGGCUCUGUCUCAAGAUGCUGAAAUAUAAAGGGGACCAACAGCCUCAUCUCCUGACAUGCUUCCUCCCUUCCCUGGAGGCUGUACCUCAGCUGAGCUUCUUCCAUCCAGGACCCACAUUUCUGUGACGUAGAGUGCAUAGAAUCUGGGGAAGAAAAGAGGAAAGCAGGUGUCCAGACUCUACAUGGAGGUAUGACAACUAUCACAGAAGCGGCACUGGAGACAUUGGUGAUGAGCCUGCCUGUGUAUGCCUCAGGCAGCACCCACAAUCGACCACCUCUUCGAGAAACGAGAAGCAGGCUCCAUUGUUCUUCCGUCCCCUCUGAAGUCACAUAGUUUUGUCUCUGUCACUUCUCAGCUGUAUGGCCCUGGGUCCUUGCUGGGAAGCCUCUGAGAAAUGAGAGGCAGUGUGGUUCAGCAGUCAGAGCCCUGCCAGUGACCAGGAUUCAAGCCCUACCUAUGAAGCUCAGUCCCCCUGUGACCUUUCGGCAAAUCCCUUCCCCUCUCUAGGCCUCAUUUUCCUCAUUUGCACAAAUGUGAGGGGUCGGACUCUUCCAUUAACUUCCAGGCCCCUUUCAGCUCUGACAUUCUCUGAUGUUAAAAGGGUCCCUCGGGCCCCCAGGAUCAGCCCCGUAGAUAUCCAGCUUCCUCCCAGGUCAUCUCAGAGUUUCUCAGCAGCAGAAGCUGCCUCAGCUCCCCCCGUGACAUCCGGGGAGCCUGACCUUUUGCCUCUUUGCCUUCCCGCCUGACUUGAAUACAUCACACAGAGGCUGGAGAGCAGCCUGUCCUGUUUCCAGCCGGCACCAGACAGUAGGAGAGUGGCUUGGGCUGAGUUCAAGGACGAAUUCUCUGAUGGUGCUCGGUUGUUCGCUUUUGCAACAGACCACAGAGGAAGUUGUUACAUGCAGGGGCAUCUUCAGAAAUCAGACUGGCUCUAGGACAGUGUCCCAGCCUAUGCUAAGUAGAGGGACAGAUUCAGUUGGUUCAUUCAUUUAUUCAUUCAUUCACAACCAUUUAUUAAUCACCUACUAUAUAUACACUCAAAGUCCUUUGGAACCAGAUUCUCCCCCUAAGCCAAUUUUUAAAGGGAAAAAAUAGAUUGUAGAUUUUAGAAGUGGGAGGAGUGCUUGGCUUGGGGAGGGGGAGGGAGAAGGGAAGGGAACCAAGCUGUUCAUGCUGAUGCAGAAAGGGAGGACAGUUCAUCUUCCCCCUUAAAGCUCUCUCCUCUGUCCUCUGCCGGCUGGUGAUUCUUUUCAUGCCCCCCGCCAACAUCCAGACUGUCAUCAUCUCCAUCUCCUCUGUCAAUUUUCCUCCUGAUACCCUCCCCACCCUGCACCUCACCCCCUAGGCAGGCUGUUGUUAAAUCUUCUCGCUUCUUCCCCCAUAGUUACUUGGAAAUCUGCUCUUUUCUGGGCCUCCGCCCCCACCGUCAGUACCUCCAUCCCCCUCUCCCUUGUUCGGUCCUAGUUGGGUGGGUGACGCCCUCAGAGGUCUCCGCUGGCAGGCUCCGGGAGAAACUUCCUGCCCCAUCUUACCGCUUCUUCCCCUUGGCCCCUGUGGGGGGAGCCAGGAUUUAUCAGCGGGAGCCCUGCCUCCCCCAGUGCAAAUCACGACCCCUCGACACCUUCUCAUCCUGUGAGAUGCUUCUUUCCAUAAAUCCUCCAGAAGGGAUCCAUCCCAUGUGCUGGAGGCCCCUGGGACUAACCUCCCUGCUUCACAUCUGGCCCAAAUCCUCAACCCUGCAGACAACAGUGGUGGGAAGACCCGGAGCCCCCAGCCCCCCCUCCCCCAUCCUCCCCAAAUUCCACUAGGGCAUAGAUUCUGCUGCCUCUGGGCUUUCUCAACUCUUCAGGCACCAACAGGGCUGGAAAUAAGAGAGAGCUGAGGUGGGGCCCUGUUCCUUUAAAAAGGGCCGUCCUCGGCUGAUUUACAUGUGGCUGGUUUUAUACAUAAAUCUGCAUGUCAAGCUGGAGGCCCGGUGCCAGGUUUCACGUUUAUGUAACCUAGAAGUAAAUGAAAUAAAUUCCCUCCCUAUGGCAGGAGGUG
Molecule: non-coding RNA, 2332 nt
Organism: Phascolarctos cinereus (koala)
Lineage: Eukaryota; Metazoa; Chordata; Mammalia; Diprotodontia; Phascolarctidae
Source: RefSeq, a predicted model, not a curated record